CUCUCUUUUUUCCCCCCUCUCACACUCUUCUUCUUUUUAAGCACCUCAUCUUCUGAAGAAAACCAUUCUUCAGCCCUUGAAUAAAAGUCUCGAAAAAAAAGAGGAGGGUCUCGCCCAACUGAUUGAAUGGUUCCUUUUUUUUUUUUUUUUUUUUUUUUAAAUUUUUUGGAAAAAAAAG
RNAcentral lists this non-coding RNA (178 nucleotides) under uncultured Strombidinopsis. Lineage: Eukaryota; Ciliophora; Spirotrichea; Choreotrichida. The record is from RNAcentral.